GAUGAACGCUGGCGGCGUGCCUAAUACAUGCAAGUCGAGCGAACAGACGAGGAGCUUGCUCCUCUGACGUUAGCGGCGGACGGGUGAGUAACACGUGGAUAACCUACCUAUAAGACUGGGAUAACUUCGGGAAACCGGAGCUAAUACCGGAUAACAUGUUGAACCGCAUGGUUCAACAGUGAAAGACGGUCUUGCUGUCACUUAUAGAUGGAUCCGCGCCGCAUUAGCUAGUUGGUAAGGUAACGGCUUACCAAGGCAACGAUGCGUAGCCGACCUGCGAGGGGGAUCGGCCACAUGGGAACUGGGACACGGACCAGAGUCCUAAGGGAGGCAGCAGUAUGGAAUCGUCCGCAAUGGGCGGAAGCCUGACGGAGCAACGCCGCGUGAGUGAAGAAGGUCUUCGGAUCGUAAAACUCUGUUAUUAGUGAAGAACAAAUGUGUAAGUAACUAUGCACGUCUUGACGGUACCUAAUCAGAAAGCCACGGCUAACUACGUG
RNAcentral lists this ribosomal RNA (497 nucleotides) under uncultured bacterium. RNAcentral describes it as "partial 16S ribosomal RNA". It matches the Rfam family "Bacterial small subunit ribosomal RNA", at positions 28 to 507 of the family's 1533-position model. The record is from RNAcentral.